AGCUAUACAUGCAAGUCGAGCGGAUCUCUUCGGAGGUCAGCGGCGGACGGGUGAGUAACACGUGGGCAACCUGCCUGUAAGACUGGGAUAACUCCGGGAAACCGGAGCUAAUACCGGAUACUAUGUCAAACCGCAUGGUUUGACAUUCAAAGACGGUUUCGGCUGUCACUUACAGAUGGGCCCGCGGCGCAUUAGCUAGUUGGUGAGGUAAUGGCUCACCAAGGCGACGAUGCGUAGCCGACCUGAGAGGGUGAUCGGCCACACUGGGACUGAGACACGGCCCAGACUCCUACGGGAGGCAGCAGUAGGGAAUCUUCCGCAAUGGACGAAAGUCUGACGGAGCAACGCCGCGUGAGUGAUGAAGGUUUUCGGAUCGUAAAACUCUGUUGUCAGGGAAGAACAAGUGCCGGAGUAACUGCCGGCACCUUGACGGUACCUGACCAGAAAGCCACGGCUAACUACGUGCCAGCAGCCGCGGUAAUACGUAGGUGGCAAGCGUUGUCCGGAAUUAUUGGGCGUAAAGCGCGCGCAGGCGGUUUCUUAAGUCUGAUGUGAAAGCCCCCGGCUCAACCGGGGAGGGUCAUUGGAAACUGGGAAACUUGAGUGCAGAAGAGGAGAGUGGAAUUCCACGUGUAGCGGUGAAAUGCGUAGAGAUG
This 656-nucleotide ribosomal RNA is filed under the name Metabacillus indicus. RNAcentral describes it as "bacterial SSU rRNA". It matches the Rfam family "Bacterial small subunit ribosomal RNA", at positions 47 to 698 of the family's 1533-position model. Lineage: Bacteria; Bacillati; Bacillota; Bacilli; Caryophanales; Bacillaceae. The record is from RNAcentral.